RNAcentral lists this ribosomal RNA (253 nucleotides) under uncultured bacterium. RNAcentral's name for it is "partial 16S ribosomal RNA". It matches the Rfam family "Bacterial small subunit ribosomal RNA", at positions 524 to 776 of the family's 1533-position model. The record is from RNAcentral.
UACGGGGGGGGCAAGCGUUGUUCGGAAUUACUGGGCGUAAAGGGCUCGUAGGUGGCCAACUAAGUCAGACGUGAAAUCCCCAGGCUCAACUUGGGAACUGCGUCUGAUACUGGAUGGCUUGAAUUCGGGAGAGGGAUGCAGAAUUCCAGGUGUAGCGGUGAAAUGCGCAGAUAUCAGGAGGAACACCAGCGGCGAAGGCGGUGCUCUGGGCCGGAACUGACGCUGAGGAGCGAAAGCGUGGGGAGCGAACAGG